RNAcentral lists this ribosomal RNA (254 nucleotides) under uncultured bacterium. RNAcentral's name for it is "partial 16S ribosomal RNA". It matches the Rfam family "Bacterial small subunit ribosomal RNA", at positions 524 to 776 of the family's 1533-position model. The record is from RNAcentral.
UACGUAGGGUGCGAGCGUUAAUCGGAAUUACUGGGCGUAAAGGGCGCGUAGGCGGCAAAUUAAGUCAGCUGUGAAAUCUCCGAGCUUAACUCGGAACGGUCAGCUGAUACUGAUCUGCUAGAGUGCGGAAGGGGCAAUCGGAAUUCUUGGUGUAGCGGUGAAAUGCGUAGAUAUCAAGAGGAACACCUGAGGUGAAGACGGGUUGCUGGGCCGACACUGACGCUGAGUGCGCGAAAGCCAGGGGAGCAAACGGG